CAAAAUAUAGCUUAAUCAAAGCCUCUCGCUUACAUCGAGAAUAUGCCUGUUACACCCAGACUAUUUUGA
This 69-nucleotide transfer RNA is filed under the name Aplastodiscus eugenioi. RNAcentral's name for it is "tRNA-Val". It matches the Rfam family "tRNA". From Rfam's summary of the family: Transfer RNA (tRNA) molecules are approximately 80 nucleotides in length. Their secondary structure includes four short double-helical elements and three loops (D, anti-codon, and T loops). Lineage: Eukaryota; Metazoa; Chordata; Amphibia; Anura; Hylidae. The record is from RNAcentral.